AUGGUGGGAGAGGAGGCCGCAUGUCCGUGGAGCUGGGAGCCCAGGAGCCUCCAGACCCAGAGAAGAGGGGAAACGGCUUGUCCCUUGACGCUCCGGGAGGAAGGCAGGAACCUGUUACUAAAUUCCGGACAAAGGAGAACCCCGUGAAAUGAUGAUUUUUCCUGCACUACUCAUGGAUCGCUCUCCUCCCUGAGAGCCUCAUCAGCUGAUGGGGGGCAUCGGGGGCCUGCCGUUCCCCUACUCCUUCCAGAUAACCCAGUGCUUUCUGGAAUGCUCUGUGGUUCCAACAUCCACAUCUCUGAGGGAUGAAACAACGUUUCCUGACUUAUCACAUGCCUUCGUGGGAGGGUUCAGCCUGCUUGCAUUCAUCUUGCUCUGGGUGGUAACGGUAAAGCUUGGUCAUUGCCCCUGCCCUACUCUUUCCUAUUUCUGCUAUCAACGUAGUGACUUCCAACAACGUGGGUUGAUGAAGUCGGUUCUGUGGUCCAGAAGUCUGCGGGGGGAGGGGGUUCUGCUUGCUCUGAAUCGCCGGCCUGGGCUCUUACCUGGAGGCUCUGGUUCAGGUAAUUAGCAGAUGUCAAUUCUGUGGGGCUGGGGUCCCCGUUUCCCCGUUGGCUGCCUGCCAGGUAAUGUUUGUUCGUCUUUAGAUCCGUGAGGGCCUGUUGUGUCCCCCUCGUGCCGCACACCCGACUUCCCUCUCCUGCUCGGAGCUGGAGGAAGUUCUCUGCCUUCAAGGGCUCACGCGGUUACACUGAUCGCCUGUGGGUAAUCAGCUACUCUCCCCAUCUCGAGGUCUGGACCAUUCUAUCCACCAAGCCUUUUUUCCAUGUAACACAGCUAUUCACAGGUUCUGAGGAGUAGAGAAUGGGCGCUUUUGGGGGGGAGUUGGGGGUAUUCUGCCUCUCAAGCUCCCCAAAUAGCCCAAUAUAUAUAUGUAAAAACCAGUUCUGAUCAGCUACACCUGCACCCUGUCCCCCGGUGCCGGGGGAAAGUUGGGGGCCCCCUGCACUGCCCACUUUCCUUCAUGUGGCACAUUCCCCAUGUGGACACCAUAGUCUUCCUCUCUGGGAGGAUCUCCAGGCUCCUUAUCUACUUCCUAAAGGGAGGAGGACAGACUAACCGUGGACUUCUCGGCUUUUUUCUGGAGACAGCGGUGUAUAAAUGUCCCAAUAUCUUGUGGAUUGCUCUGCACAUGGAGGUCUCUCAUGGAUGUGGUUCUCCACCUGGGGGUGUGUUACAAGGAGAGGGGUGCUUAGACCCCUGUCUGCCUCCCCUCAGAGGUGGUUGACGAUCUCUGCAGGUGGAACCUGGGGCUUCCAAAGAAGUCCAAGCUUUGCCUGGUGGUCCUUAGGGCUCCAGACCGCUGUCCAACGGUGUGUCCGUUUGCUCCUGAAGGUACACGUCUUCCCGGUGGUGAAGGAGAUGCCUUGCAGCGUGCUGCCUGGUGCUGGGUUCCAACCCGGUCGUAGUCGGGAACCCGGAACUGUGUGGGGAAACGGCAUAAAAUACAAGGAACACACUGGGGCAGAAAGAAGGUGCUGGAUGUGGAUAAUCAAAUCACAGACAUCGUUGCUCAGUUGUUACUUGGCAGCUUUUUCCAAAAUAAUCUUACGAUAUUUGGUGAACGAAAACCCCUCGAAUCAAAAUGUCAAAGAUUUUCGUCGUGCACAGGAUGCUUAUGGUACGAUUUUAGGGGGAAAGAAGAGCACAGGGCUUCUACUCAGAGUGAACGUGAGAGAACUAACAGGAACUAACCAGAGAAUUUACACUUGUGAAUCGCAGCGGUCUCCGAAGGUAAGCGCUCGGGAUGCUGUAUCUCCUUCUAUAUUCCAGUCCUUCCAGACACAGUGGGAUAUUAUUUUCUAACAUAUGUGACUUGCUUGUUUUUUUGUUGUUGUUUUUUGGUUUUUUUUUUAAACACAGAGAACUCAGUGUCCUUCAUUUCAGGGUUUAACGGAGCUCCCCUCCCAGGGUAGAUGCUGAGCAGAGGGAUGCUUGGCUGGCAGAAAAUCCCCAUACACCUCAGCAGGUGUUUCUUUCCUGCCUUCUAAGAAUCCACUUUUCUUGCUCUGAGGACCCAGCUUUUCUGUCUAAUGACAGAGGGGAAUUAGGCAAAGGUGUGCCACAGCCCCCAUGACUCCAAGUCCUUUUUCCUCAAGAGAAAAGGUAUUAAACACAGCACUGGUGUGUACACAAAUCACGAAUUUCAGCCGCUGAAGCCUGUGGGGUUGGGCAGCCUCCACUUCCUGGAAGGGCCAACUAGGGCUCACUGAUGUGUCUUAGGGGGUCAGGAGCCUUCCCAACUCCGGGUCUUGUUCAUCUUAUUUUUUUGGUCAACUAUUAACCAUGUGUCUCCCAUACCAACCUUUUUCUCUUUAUGGUGCAAACUUAGGUCUGUGUUGUGUAGUAAGAUUUGCUGUUGUCACGUGCUGGACAUUUGAUCCCCAGACUUGGAAGUUUUCUCCCUUUGGUAUCUCCCCAUUUCCCCUCAUAACCACCAUUCAAUUAUUUCUAUGAGUGCCAACCUCUUUAUCCAUUCAUCUGGUGAUGGGCAUUUAGAUGGUUUCCACAUCUUGGCCGUUGUAGGCAAUGGUGCCGUGAACGUGGGGGUGCAGACUUGAGGGAAACAGAAAAGUGUUGUUCGGCCAUUUUGUUGACUUAAACAUUCAACUGUUAAACUUGUUCAAGCACACUGAGUGUUCAGUUAUGAACACUCCUAGUAAAAGAGUAAUUGUUUUUGAGAUGAUUAGCAAGGGAAUUUCAGUACAUGAGAAAGCUAUCUUUAGCUCAUUUUCUCUUAUCUGGCAAUGCCAAUGUCUGUGCUUACUAAUGAAUAAUCUAUUUCAAAGAAAAUAGAUCAAGACUCUCCUAUAAUGAGAAGUUCUGAAGACUCCCAAAAGGAACAAAAUGAAAUACUGAGUCUAGCUUACUGUAUCCUUCCCCACAUCCACACCCAGCCACAGAUCCACACAUCUUGUCAUAUGUGUUUGAAGUUGCAUUGGAAGGGGAUAAACUGAAUUACUUCUUGUUGAUCCAAAGGACUUGUGGCAUGAAUUAUGCAUCAUGCAUGUAAGCUAUGAAAGCGAAAAGUACAAAUAAGUAAAUGUCACUUUUGGGUUUUCCUCAAAGAGCACUCUGAUGAGCAGCAUACUAUGGGCAUAAGUACUGUGACUUUUAAAUGUCAAAGAAUGCAAAAAUGACCCUCUGUACAUACAAAUUUCUCUUCCCCUCCCUCUCCAGGGUCCCCAUGCAAUAUUCGUGAAGAUUAGCAUCUGUGAAUUAAUUUAGAAAGUUCAAUAAUUUUGUCCCAUGAGGUCUAAACGUGAGUAAUCCAUUUGUGGCAAUGACUUAGGAACUAAAUCACAACCCACUAGCAUUGCAGAAAACGGUAGCGUGUUCACUACAUGUACGAUGGAUCAUCAGUAACCACCAAAAUAAACUGACUUGAUGCAACCCAUACUUAAAUGUGAUUUCCAAGUCCUUGGUUUUGCUGGGGAUACUGGAAUGAAAAAAGUCCCAAUAUUUGGAAGGUGUUUAUUAUCAUUGACUUAGUCACCAAAACAUCAUGUCACGACUUCUCUAUUUUCCCUAAGAAAAUGGUACAGGCAGGCGAGAUAGCUGGUGUAUUUCACUGGGAAGAUUUGAAAGAUUCAGAGUGAAACCUAUCCCUGCCAAAGAGAUGACAAUGUCCCAAACCAAGAAGUGCCUGAGAACCUGGCUGUGGACAAGGGGUGAUUCUCGUGCUGAAGGCCUUUGUAAGGAAUCCUAUGUAACUAGACAUCUGUAAUGGCGGGGAUGAGGCCAUGGCCAUCUGGACAUGAGCCCCAAAGUCCGUACUGCCCUUUGCUCUUCCUGUCUGCUUGUGUGACACAGGCAAGGGACAACGGGAGGCAUAAAACCACGUUUUCCCCAUGUAGCUCUGCCACCAUUUCUUACAAACCCAUCGCUGAUCUUGCUUUCUGGCUGGGGGUUGGGGGGAAGGAAUGGCGAGGCAGACUGUGUUUUGGGGGAAGUGUUGGUCUGUGUUUUCUUAAUCCUGUGCUUCUCAACCAUGGUGAUCUUCGCAUCUCCCCAUGAGUCCCAGCCCUGCCUUUUUACAGUGCCCCUUUUGGUGCUUCCUGGCUCACCACUGUCCCCUGAAGCCCUCUGAUACUUUCAGUCUAUACUACAUUUUAACAAUCUAGUAUGCCCAUUGCUUGCUCAGGGUGAGUCCUCUUUUCCCAGUGAGGUUACCACGGACUUGAGCGGAGGAAACCUUUCUUCUGUCCCUGGUCUGUCUUCACCAGCUGAGUGUGUGUUCCCAUGUCAGGAACAUGUUCUGCUUGAAAUCUGAUAACGCUAAUCAGACCCCUGGGAGGGUGGCUUUAAUCGCCUGAGACGGAUCUGAUAAGCCUGUCUAGACAGGCAGUGCUCUCAGAACUGCUGAACGUGCUGAGAGCCAGAACGUUCACCCAGGGGUGAGUGAUGGGGUGUGGACAAAGCCUACAAUCCCUUCGGACCAAUGCGCCAUGACCCUGUGGGCUCCUUAUGAGCAAAGGGGUUCACCUCAGCCGAGGUCUGAGUGAGGAGUAUACUGGUAUGACAAUCUAAUGGAACCGUUAAAUGCCAGACCACUAGUGACACCAGUUGUGAAAUGUAUGCUACAGGGUCUUAGUGUUUGAGCUGACCAAAAACUUAAGUUAUUGAGAGAAAGUACAAGUGGUAGAAAAGUGCACUUUGGCAGAUGUCUGGCAGGGUUGCAGGGGUUGGCCAGUGAAGCUCAGAAAUCUGGGUUUAGGGAGAAGAGCUUUGCACAUGGCCUUGAGAUCUAGGACCUUGGCUGGGGAUGCACGUGCUGACUUUGCGCUUUCUGGGUCAACGCACAUGGGCUCUUCCCUCCUUCCCUCAGGAUGAAUCAAUGACGUUCAUUUCUCCCUCCUCUUUGUCCCACCAGUCCCCUGCCUGAAAUCUCUCUCCUUUUGGAGGGGAUCUUAAUGUUUUUGUAGUUUAUCCAUGGGAGUCCGCUUGUUUAGUGUAUGGCUCUGUUUGACCUACAUAUAUGGUUACGUAACCACUACCACAAUCAAACAGAAAAGUCCCAUCACUCUUCCCACAUUCCCUCACCACCUACUCCACCCCUAGCCCGUAGCUUCUUUGUGUCCUUAGAAGUUGAACCUGAGCCCAGAGAGUAACGGGAAUGAAAUUCUACACUGUGGAGACUUGAGUCUAGCUUUAGUCAAGGGGUUUGGUCUGAUUUUUGUGGGUCUUUCUGUUGACAAGGAAUAGUCCGCUGUCUGAACACUGCACCCUUGUUCAUUUAGCAAAGAACACCUGAUGGUUUCUGGUCCUCUGGGGUAUUGUUGGGCUACAGGGCAGGUGCUUGCUAAACCUUUAGGACAUUGACAAAUCAUUUUCCAAAGCGGGCAUGCUGUCUUGCACACACACCAGCAAUGUAGGGCUGUUUCAGUGACCCUGUGCCUUCCUAUGCGCUUUCUUUUUUUAACAACACAAACUUCUGGGUGUGUGGUAUUGUCUCAUGGUUUUACUUCUUUUCCUGAUGCCUAAUGUUAACGUUUUUCCUGUACUGUUUGCAGCUUCCCUACUUAAAGCCCAAACAGUUUGCCCUUUUUAUUGGGAAGUUUGUUUUCUUCUUGAGUUUUGAGAGUUCUUAAUAGACUAGAUACAAACCCUUCUUCAAUUUUGCUUCUGUUUUCCUCCACUUGGAGGCCUGUUUAUGCUCUGAACGGUGUAACUUGCGGAACUCAAGUUCUUAGUAGGGAAUUUAGCAAAUGAGUCCUGGUUUUGGUGUAUCUUCUCUAAGACAUCUUUACCAAACUCGGGUCAAAAAGAUUUUAGAUUUCUCUUUUCUGUUUGGGUGACUAAACAAUAAAGAUCUAAAAACCAUAAGGUUUUACAAGAUCAUCCUGUGUUCAGUGUGUGUCACCUGUAUUUCAUUCUCCCCGGAGCUUGGUUGAGGGUUGUUCCUGAUUGGGGCUCAAAGCAAGCCUGUCAGGUAGCAGGUAAGUUACAGCUCCGUGUUUGCCCAUAACGUGGCCUGGUGGGAAACUCCACGUUUUCCCUUUCCUACAUCAGUAAACAAGAGUGAGUGGCUGCCCCCAGACGUUUCUACAGACUUCCGUCAUUGCAGUGAAUAACAUUUAGCACCUAUCUGGACCUACAGUUUCUUUUCAGAAUCCCAGUAGUAAAGAGACCUAAAAUUUGCAGAACUGUUUACAGAGAAUAAAGCCUGUCACCAAAUGAAGACGGUUAGAGGGACCUAUUUUAGGGGACCUCCCAUUCCCAGAUGUCUGAAGAUGUAGAUUGUGACCGACACAUGAUGAUACGUUUGGUCUCAGGGUUGCACUAACCGGGAUGACAGAAACCACUCCGUGCAAAUACUUAAACCAGCUUCUAACUACUGCUUGGGAUGUACUAUAAAUAACUUUUUCCAACAUUUUAAUUAUUUUGGGAAUUUCACAAUUGGGGACUAUCUUAUUUUUCUAUCACAAGAGCUUGUUAAAUAUAAACAUUCAAUGUCCUACUUUUUGCAACUCUGGCUAUCGUUCCUCUCUUGUUCCAGGAUCCUGGGGGUGCAAGGCACUCGGUUUGGUGUAUGUCUGUUUAAAAAUAGUGGUAUUUUUGCUUCCCAUUUGUUCCAAUAUUUAGACACAUCCAUCAGUAACAAGACUAAAGCAAAAAUCUUCUUUGAAAGAGGGGCAUUUUGGUAUUGUGCUCUCAGGUGAUCCAGUUAAAUGGAAACUAGAACUAUCUGCAGGUUUCUGCAUCUGCUUCACCCCUUACACGUCUCUGGCCUGGACAGGUCGAGUGAUCACGUCCAUCCUGCAUGCAAGGCCCAGUUCCACCAACCCUGCUCACAUAGCGUGACAGAGUUUUAGAGCCAUGUUUCUUUCGCUUUAUUUAACCUUAUGACUAUUUCCCGAGAGCUUGCCAGGAGGGUCUUUGAGAUCUGUGUGUAUUUCUUUGUCCUACGACACACCAGCUCUUUCCUGGGCUCUGUCCACCAAGCCCCAGGCUACUGGUAAGUGGAUUGACCCAGACCCCACCCUUGAGCAACCAGGGGUUUGGAGAUUAUACAGUGGUGAUGCUCCGUGUUGACUUCCACAUCUCUUGGUGUGCCUCUGUCCCGAUCUGAGCACAGAGCUUGAUGUCCAUUUUCUUGCCCUCGGGGCUCUGUGCAAGGCUUGGCAGACUGAGGGUGCCCAACGAAAAGAAAUGGAUGAACCCACCCAUGCCCACUGUUUACAAGAUGUGCGACUUGGGUGAUUUUGUCCAAUCUCCUGGUGAUUUUCACCCCUUAAAAAUCAGAGAUGUGGGGCGCCUGGGUGGCUCAGUCGGUUGAGGGACUUCGGCUCAGGUCAUGAUCUCACAGUUGGUGGGUUUGAGCCCUGUGUCAGGCUCUGUGCCAACAGCUCAGAGCCUGGAGCCUGCUUCGGAUUCUGUUUCUCCCUCUCUCUGACCCUCCCCCUCUCGUGCUCUGUCUUGCUCUCAAAUACUAAAAAAUGAGGGAUGAAUGUGGAUCAUUUAGUGUGUUGGGGAGGAUUGACAGCAUUGGAAAUAGCAGGGCCGAGGUCUUGUUGAUGUUUGUGAUGCCUGUGCCCAUGUGAACCAUAUUCCCGGCAAUGAGAACUGUCCCCCCACCCAACCUGGGAAGAUCAUUGGUAGCCCAGGGCUUUGUGACUCUGCUAUACCAGUCAGGAUUCAUUUCAUCAAAAAGAGAACACAAAUAGAUUAUAAGAACUUAAAAACAGGAGGUUUGGAGUCAGAUGCUGACUCCUUGUUCAGUGCACAGAGCUGUUUACCUCCCAUGUGAGAUCUGAAGUUCAGGGAUUAGGAAGAGGUAGCUUCUGGUUCCAAGGUCCUUCAUCUUGAAGUUACAGGGUUUUGUGUCGGGUACAGCAUUCAAAGUACUUAACGCCUGCCCUGGCCUGGCUCCAGUUAGAAUGGUGCCAGCCGAGGAGGAUGGUGUCUGUCCACUGCAGGGUGGCUGCACACGUGUUUUGGUGGCGUUAUGCCUUUGGCUGCUGGAGAAAGGUCUCGUGGACCUUCUGGUUCUCACCAUCUCCCUCUGUGCAGAACCACUUGGUACAAAUAAUUCACAAGCAGGUGCCCUUUGUAAUCUGCAGGUAAGCAAGCAAAUAAGACUGUCAACUCUGUAUAACUCAGAAUUCGUGUACAGGGUUUUUUCCAGAACCAGGCUAGAUGGUCUCCAGCCUGGUCCCGUGGGUAGCGGACAUUUGGCCCUGCUGGCUUCCCCCUUCUCCUCCUGGCGGUUUAGCCCAGUCACCUCCUUGUCAGUGGGGCUGACACUGUCCCCAGACUAUCCUGGACUUGGAAAUCCAGCUUUUCAUUGCCACUUUGAUUUCUGCUCUCAAAGCCCCUGGAUGUGUGUCUGUCAAAUAUUUUGGGAGAUAGAUUUGGUAUCCCCGUUUUUAAAGGAUCCCAUGGACCCUUCUGGGCAGCAAGUAUAGCUUGCUGAGCCAUUCACGCACCAUCUCCCUUUUGCUGAGCCCAUCCUGAAUCCCACGCUAACCCUACUCUACGGCAAAACUCCCCCGUUCCCCUGGGCAGAGCUGGUCAUCCCUUUCUCCUCUGCUGUUCUGAAAUUUGCAUGCCUCGCCCUGCACCUUGGCGGUCAGGAUCCGAGUUUGGAAAUUAAUAGAGCCGUUUCCUAAAUCAGAGGUCAGCAAUCUACAGGCCUCAAGUAGAACCCUGUCACGUGGACGUUCUGUGGCCAUAGCACCAUGAGACACAGCCAUGCCUGCUUGUGUUGUCUGGUCGCUUCCCCACUGGGAUGUGCACUUCCAGCCCUUUCUAGAAUAGGUCUGUUGACCCUGCUCCAAACUAUGGGUGUUAGGAUCCCUGAUUUCAGUUCCUUGAAAGACCAAGGUGUGACAGCUCACGUGAAGUCAAGAACUAGCCCACGUGCUGGGGUUCAUCCAGUGUGAAAUUGCUCCGGACUAAUUCCAGUUUACGAAAGUUUGAGAGAGCGCAAGUGUGUGCAAGGGGGAGGGGGUAGAGAAUCCCAAGCAGGCUCUGCCCUGACAGCACAGAGCCUGAUGCAAGGACCCAUCUUCCUAACUGGGGGAUCGUGACCUGAGCCAAAAUCGAUUCGGAUGCUUAACCAACGGAGCCACCCAGGCACUGCUAAUUCUGGUUUAAAUGCUUUGAUUUCUUUGGCCUACCAAGAUGCUAAAUGCAAGAUCCAAGUGCCGCGUGGACCGGGCGUAUCAUGUCCUGGAAUCGCGGGGUUUGCUUUGGAAGAGGCUCCACCCACCCCAGUUCCUACCUCGCCCCACAACUUAAACUCCCUUCAUCAAAAUUAGUAUUCAAUUCACUGAUCUCCUCCCAACAAUCUUUUUUCCAAGAGCUGCUCGGAACUGAACUCAACUGCCUCCGUGCUCAGCAGUGCCUGGAAAUGUGUGUGUUUACUCACAAAUGAACCUUGGUGUGCUAACUCCCUGCUGGCCCAAAGGGUUGCUUUCACAUUCAGGACCAUCGUCUCAUGAGACUACAGUGAACUCUGAACUAGGGCUCCCACCCUGUCCUUCGUCCCUCGGGUCCGUGUUGGUUCCAGGAAGCUCUGUAAUCCCGGGAGAUGCACCAGCCGUGCUAAGGCUCUUGAAUGUGCCAGCUCUCAUGACUGUGGCCGCCUGCAGAUCGCCAACACCUGGCUGUGUCACAACAGCUGCGGGAAAGCUACUGGGCCCACGACUUCAGAUGAACAUCGGUGUAGCAAGAGGACAGAUAGGAAGAGGCCAGACAGAAGUCCCAGACUUUUUCACCUUGUGGCUCCUCCCCAGACCUCAUCACGUAUACAAGUGAUGGAACCCCACCUGUCGGGAGUUUGUGGGAGUGUGGCCACGUGUCCACCUGCUAACGUAUAGAAACCUAGGCUGUUAAAAAUCUGCUUUGAAAUUCCUUUAAGAAGGGGCGCCUGGGUGGCGCAGUCGGUUAAGCGUCCGACUUCAGCCAGGUCACGAUCUCGCGGUCCGUGAGUUCGAGCCCCGUGUCGGGCUCUGGGCUGAUGGCUCAGAGCCUGGAGCCUGUUUCCGAUUCUGUGUCUCCCUCUCUCUCUGCCCCUCCCCCGUUCAUGCUCUGUCUCUCUCUGUCCCAAAAAUAAAUAAAUGUCGAAAAAAAUUUUUUAAAAAUUUAAGAAAAAUACACUUCCCUGGGAAGUUGGCUGGUGACCCAGCAAUGCUGUCCUUUUUGCCCAAAGGGUUAAGCUUCUGUCUACACAGAACGUGUGCACGUUAUUCACAACUGAUGAGAUUUGGAAGUAACCUAGAUGCCCCUCCAUUGGUGCGUAUACUGUGGCCCCUCCAGACGAUGGAAUCUCCUGGGCUGAAAAGGAGUGAGUCUGCCCAGCCACACAGAGAAACUUGAAAUGCAUGUUACUCCGUGAAAAGCCAGUCUGAAGAGGCUGUGGGACUCCAGUGAUGGAACAUCCUUCAAAAGGCAGUGAAGCCCCUCCAAGAGUGACCCCUGAUGUAAACUCUGGAGGCUGGGUGGUGAUGUGUUAAUGUGGCCUUGUCAGUCAUAAGACGUCCCUCCUGGUGGGGUGUUGACUGGGGGGUGGCUGUGCAUGUGUGGGAGAAGGUAUAUGGGAACCCUGUGUACCUUCCCCUCUAUUUUGCUGUGAACCUCUGACUCUUGAUUUUGGCUCAGGUCAUGAUCUCACAGUUCCUGGGAUCAAGCCCUGUGUUGGGCUCUGUGCUGACAGUGUAGAGCCUGCUUGGGACCCCCUCUCUCUCUCCACCUUCCCCCAACCCCAUGCUUGUGAGCUGGCUCGCUCUCAAAAGUAAAAACUAGCAAGCUCUGUGCUCUGUGCAGCCCUGCCCCCAUGGCUGGAUGACCAUGUAGCGUGGCUGUGCUGGAGGGGACACCAGCCCUGGGCAAGGCAGUGACCUGCUAACAUGUAUCCUUCCUGUCGGCUGGUGCAGCUUCUGGAUACGAUCUGGUGGUGGAAACCAGGCCACCACGUACACAGCGUCUCCAUCAAGGGGUUCGUUCUUGUCACGGUGACCAGGAGCAAGAGGGGCUGUGCCUUGGCUGCAUGGAUACCAACAGCAACCCCUCUGACCUGUGUGCACAGAUCUAGAAUGUUCCUCUUCUACCUUCCACUUUGGAGAUUCCCCCAACCUCCUGUUGCCUGAAGAAAGUAGAAAUUGUUCGCUGACCCCGAAACGACACAAACAGCCCAACCCCGAGCUCCUUUCUGUUCUCUGAUCUACAAGUACCUGAGAAAGAAAAUCUGUUCGAGAGAAACUGAACGCAGCUGUGAACAUCUGCUAUCUGGUUCACUCUUCCCCCACAUGCCGGUGAGGGCUGCUCGGUGUUCCCUGGAGGACGCAGCCUCCUUCCCAGUCUGUGCUGGGGGUGCCCACCCACCCCCUCCUUCCCAGUCUGUGCUGGGGGUGCCCACCCACCCUUCCUGGCUCUCGAGGGCUGGUCACCCUCCCGGAACCUCCUUUCCCAGCUGCUGCUGCUCCUCCUGCUUGGUGUUCAGGAUGAAGAGAGGUUUCCAUCCGGGGCUCCUGCUGCACCUGCUGACAAUUGCACUCCAGGGAAUCCUCUUGCUGGGCUUGGAGCCAGCCUCGGGGAGGCGAACACCUGAUAACGUAGCUUCGGCACCCAGAUCCCCAGGACCUAGAAGCCAGGUCUGUCCCCCGCCUUGACCCAGGCUGAAUUGGUAGUCAUUUACUCACCAUGUGUAGUGAUCAGAGGUAGUUUGAGGAAACGUUACUAAUGAAAAGCAGUUUCCAAAAAAUGUUUUCACAAGAUUUCAGAACCUAUUUAUAUCCAACAUCCAUCGUUGGUUAUCUGGAGUUUUUAGUGCUCGGCAGUUGCUAAACAGCAAGUAAGAAAGUUGCUAAAGGCAACCUCAGGGCAAACGGGUAGUAAGGUGCAGGCAUUCAGGGCAACAGAAACCAGAGUGUGCAGCAGGUGGAAAUGCUCUCCAGGUUGGGGCCACGCCAUCCCACGUGCCUGAAAAGUCCCGCGAGGUAGGACUUGCGUUCUCACGGGGGGCGGUGGGUGUGUGCUGUUGUAAGAAUGCGGGGAGGGAGUCGGGGCUGGGGGGACCAUCUUCGGGUCCCCAGAGCUUCGGUAGCAGGCGCCUGUGACAGGUGCAAUGUAACAAGUGACACGCGCUUCUUCGAUGUCAGGUGGUGCUGUCUAGCUCGUGAGCCCGGGGAGCAGCAUCCCUGCUGCCGAGGGCAUUCGCUGCUCUGUCUCCCCACCUAGCGUGGUGUGUUUAUGGGGCUUGUCAAAUAUUCCGGAAUUCAGGAAACCAGUCUGUCAGAGCCCUUAACUAGUUGGGACACCCUUGUGCUUCUGGUAGUUUGUAGGCAAGACAGAUGGGCUCUUAGCUUUUUCUCACUCUUCAUCUUGGCGGUGUGUCUCGUUCAGGCACUGCCUCCCCCAAACCCUCCAGGCCCUAUGUCCGGGUAGAGAUUGAUGCUCAGAAACCUCAUUCAGUCUCUCAAAGGGUUUUGUUGUUCGAUGAUUCCUUGUAAGUAUAAAAUUAAGAUAGGAGUCCCCACCCUUCCCGAAAUUCCAGGCAUUUUUUUCCCCCUGGAGUGACGUAUGGAAAUCUGACUUGACAAAAGCCUUAAUUCCAUGGAUGCUUGAUUCUGCCUUUUCACCCUGGCCUAGUGGAGCAAAUGGAUGCCCAGAAUGGUACCGUGUGUGUGAGUGUGUGUGUGUGUGUGUGUGUGUGUGUGUGUGAGAGAGAGAGAGAGAGAGAGAGAGAGUGUGUGUGUGUGUGUGUGUGUGUGUGUGUGUGUGUGUGAGUGAGUGAGUGACGUGUUUGGCUGUGGGGGGAUUAAUUACUCCCGUGCACAUCUUUUGUUACGGCACGGGUAACUUCUGCCGUCCAGGGGCAAUGCUGUAGGGGACACUGGGGGGAGGGGAGAGGGGGUCUGGCUCAAUCUGGGGUAGAUGGCAGGGCUGAUGGCAGCCAGCAAGGAAAACUCCGGGUUUGUCCUAACCAGACUCUGGUGGAACAUGGAAGGUUUGAAUUUCUCUCCCUUCUGUGCCACCCGACAGCUGCUGCCUCCGGUCCCCUGGCAUCACUAGCAGUGUGAGUAUCCGGGCACCUUUCUCAGGAAGGUUCGGCACAGCCGCUGGCCUCUCCCUCUCCCUCAGCAGAUGGGCACAGGGGAGCAGGCUGAGUGCGAGGCUCCUGGUGUGAGGUCUCGGGGAGCAGAGAAGUCACUUUUGGGACCCUUGUUUUUCUCUGCACGGACAGGAGAGGAGGGUUCCAGGGAGAAGGGAGGCGGGAAUUAACAGGCAGGUUUAAACUUCCCAGACUGUCUCCAAGGUUGGAAAUGGUUGAAGGUGUUCUUAGGGAUAGAAAAGCCCUCACAUGGUGUGAGAAGCCCUGGGAAUCAGCAAUCUGGAAACAUCUGUCCUAGGUAAGCUGCCCCUGGGGAGGGGAGGGACUCCAUCAGUUCUCUCCACGGUGAGUGCCUGAACACCCAUCUGUGUCCCCCUUAAGUAUUAACCCCACCCCUUACCCUUCAAUUUGUCUCUGAAUUUGGCCACAAAGUUCUCCGGGUUUCUCUACUUGUAGCAUGUGUCAAUGUCCCUGUUAUAAGGCUGAAUAAUAAUCCAUAUGUAUAAACCACCAUACACGUUAAUUUUUGAGAGCAAUUUUAGGUUUACAGGAAAAUUGAGCCAGAUGGCAGAGAAUCCCCCCAGUACCCCUCCGUCCCCGCUUUCCUUGUUAACGUCUUGUCUGGAUGCGUCUAUUUGCUGCAACUGAUGAACCAGUGUUGACAGAGCAUUGACGGAAGUCCAAGGUUACAUUAGGGCUUGCCCUUGGUGUCCUACCUCCUAUGGAUUCUACCCAAUGCAGAAUGUCACGUGUCCCCCAGGAUGGUUUCGCUGCCCUGGGAACCACCCCCCUCCCCUGUGACACACCUCCCUUCCCUCCCAGCCCCUGGCAACUGCUUUUGCUGUUUUUACAGUUUUGCUUUUUCCAGGAUGUCAGAGAGUUGGGAACCUAUGAAACAUAGCCUUUUUAAACUGGCUUUGUUCACCUAACAAUACACACUUGAGGUUUCUUUCCCCUUGUCUGUGACUUGAUAGCUCAUUUUUAUUGCCGAACAAUCCAUUGUCUGGAUGUGCCACAGUGUUUCCUCAACCAUUUUUAAAGGCAAUGUUGGCUUCGAUUAGAAUAAUGGAUAGAGGGUGUGUGGGUCCCUGAAGUGGAAGGAGAGAGACCCAAUAAGAGGCCUUCGGGGCAUCUGGGUGGCUCAGUCUGUUGAGCAUCUGAAUCUUGAUCUCUGCUCAGGUCAUGAUCUCCUGGUUCGUGAGUUCAAGUCCUGUGUUGGGCACUGUGCUGAUGGCGUGGAGGCUGCUUGGGAUUCUCUCUUCCUCUCUCUGUCCCUCCCCAGCUCACACCUAUACUCCCUCUAAGUAAAUAUUUAAAAAAGUCUUCCAACUUGUCCAGGCAAGAGAUGUCCAUGGUUUGCUCUAGGGAGGUGGGAAAUGGACAGAUUCCAAAAGUAUGAAGGAUUAACGAAUGACUCUGGAAUUUAACGGUCCUUGGAAGCAAGAGACCCUGACUUCUGUCGAGGGAGAACAUCAUCCCAAAAGCAGAUGCUUCUCUCCUGGUCCUGGACGAUCACAGCGGCUGUCCUCCGUAGUCCUGGACAAUCAUGAUGGAUGUCCUCAAUGGUAGAGAUAAGGAGCCUCCAGGAUGCUGUGCUAGGAAGACAGUCACUGGUCACGAAACUGGAGGAGUCCCAGGUCAGCUCUGCCACUUUCCACAUGAUGCUCUAGAUCCUGGUUGCAAUUAGAAAGUGGAACUUUAAAAAAGUUCUGAUGUUAAGCUUCUACCUGUAAAAUACUGGUUUUGUCACCCAGGCGACUCUAGAGCAGUUCUGGAGAGGAGUCUUCUAGAAUCCCGAAAUAAGCAGUUGGCAUGACCUGUGGGCAUAAGGAAGGAGUUUGCUUUCCGAGGUUUGGAUCAGAAUGGGGGGAAAGAAGGUUAUGAACUUAAAUAGGAUUCUGGGAUCCUUGUAUUGCUAACAAGAUUCCUUUGGUCACAAGUGGGGAGGAACCAGCCAGGGCAGCUUAAGCGAAUACAGAGGUCUUUAAAAGCUGGGGGAAACCAGGGAUGGGUACACAGCGUUGCCUCCUUUCUUUGCUUGCUCUUUGUGUCCAAGACACAGGGUCACUGCCCCAACAGUGGUGGUUAAUCGUUCUGCAGUUUCCAGCUGACCCCCGACUCUAACCCAGACUCAAGGGAAGGUGACUUACCUGCCUAUGGCCAUGGGGUUGCAGGGCGGAUAGGCACACAACGAAAACCUAACUUGGGGGCACCUGGGUGGCUCAGUCCAUUGAGCAUCUGACUUCGGCUCAGGUCAUGAUCUCAGAGUUCAUGAGUUUGAGCCCCACAUCGGGUUCUGUGCUGACAGCUCUGAGCCUGGAGCUGGCUUUGGAUUCUGUGUCUCCCUCCCUCUCUCUGCUCCUCCCCCACUCACACAUGUGUGCAUGCCCUCAAAAAUAAUUGAAAAAAUAAACCUAACCAAAAAUACAUACCAGGCCAGGUGGCAAGAAGUCCAACUGAGGAAAAACGAGACAGGGCCCCUGGCAAUGGGUGGGUGGUGCUGAAUCUUAUGAGAGGAAGACCGUGCUUUUUAGUAUAAGUUGCAUGUAAUGGGGUAAGUGCACGCUGAAAAAAACCUGUUGUUCAUCCAAAACUCAAAAUUGGGGUCCUGAAUUUUUACUUGCUAACCUUGGCAACUUAUCCAAUUAAAAAAUCAAAGUAUAAAAACUCCACAGAACAUCCUAUUAGUUUCAAGUGUACAUCAUGGUGAUUCAAUUUUUUAUUCAAGUAGGAUCAUCUAACAUUUAGUUUCAGGUGUACGAUUUAGUGAUUCAACAAUUCUGUGCUCAGUGCUCAUCCGUGUAUGCUUCAUCCCUGUCACCUAUUUCGCCCAUCCCCCCCACCUCCCCUGUGGCAAAUACUAAAUUUAUAAGAGUCUGUUUUGUCUGUUUUCUUAAAUUCCACACCUAAGUGGAAUCCACGAUGUUGUUGCAGAUAAGAUUUCAUUUCUACAGCUGGGUGAUAUUCCAUCAAAUGGAUAUGCCACACUUCACCUAUCGAUGGACACUUGGGCUGCUUCUGUAUCUUGGCUAUUGUAAAUAAUAUUGCAAUAAACAUACAGAGCGUGUGAACAGGGGAGGAGCAGAGAGCAAGGGAGACAGAAUCCAAAGCAGGCUCCGAG
Molecule: long non-coding RNA, 16238 nt
Organism: Felis catus (domestic cat)
Lineage: Eukaryota; Metazoa; Chordata; Mammalia; Carnivora; Felidae
Exons: 6
Source: RefSeq, a predicted model, not a curated record